Molecule: ribosomal RNA, 497 nt
Filed under: uncultured bacterium
Lineage: Bacteria
Description: partial 16S ribosomal RNA
Rfam family: Bacterial small subunit ribosomal RNA
Source: RNAcentral
GAUGAACGCUGGCGGCGUGCCUAAUACAUGCAAGUCGAGCGAACAGACGAGGAGCUUGCUCCUCUGACGUUAGCGGCGGACGGGUGAGUAACACGUGGAUAACCUACCUAUAAGACUGGGAUAACUUCGGGAAACCGGAGCUAAUACCGGAUAACAUGUUGAACCGCAUGGUUCAACAGUGAAAGACGGUUUUGCUGUCACUUAUAGAUGGAUCCGCGUCGCAUUAGCUAGUUGGUAAGGUAACGGCUUACCAAGGCAACGAUGCGUAGCCGACCUGAGAGGGUGAUCGGCCACACUGGAACUGAGACACGGUCCAGACUCCUACGGGAGGCAGCAGUAGGGAAUCUUCCGCAAUGGGCGAAAGCCUGACGGAGCAACGCCGCGUGAGUGAAGAAGGUCUUCGGAUCGUAAAACUCUGUUAUUAGGGAAGAACAAAUGUGUAAGUAACUAUGCACGUCUUGACGGUACCUAAUCAGAAAGCCACGGCUAACUACAUG